GUGCCAGCAGCCGCGGUAAUACGGGAGGGGCAAGCGUUAUCCGGAAUUAUUGGGCGUAAAGAGCUCGUAGGCGGUUCAACAAGUCGGUCGUAAAAGUUUAGGGCUCAACCCUAUAAUGUCGAUCGAUACUGUUGUGACUAGGAUACGGUAGAGGUGAAUGGAAUUCCGAGUGUAGCGGUGAAAUGCGUAGAUAUUCGGAGGAACACCAGUGGCGAAGGCGACGCCCUGGCUUGAUACUGACACUGAGGUGCGAAAGCGUCGGCAGCAAACAGGAUAAGAUA
RNAcentral lists this ribosomal RNA (281 nucleotides) under uncultured bacterium. RNAcentral describes it as "partial 16S ribosomal RNA". It matches the Rfam family "Bacterial small subunit ribosomal RNA", at positions 505 to 784 of the family's 1533-position model. The record is from RNAcentral.